RNAcentral lists this microRNA precursor (130 nucleotides) under Citrus sinensis (sweet orange). RNAcentral's name for it is "miR399d stem-loop (csi-MIR399d)". Its record names the gene csi-MIR399d. Lineage: Eukaryota; Viridiplantae; Streptophyta; Magnoliopsida; Sapindales; Rutaceae. The record is from miRBase by way of RNAcentral.
AAAGCAGUUUUAGGGCACCUCUUACUUGGCAUGCAAUGGUGAUUUAUUGGUGCAAUAAUCAGCAUUAUAUUGGUUAAUUCGAUAUCAAUCCCACUGAUAUGCCAAAGGAGAGUUGCCCUGUGACUGCUUC